This 242-nucleotide long non-coding RNA is filed under the name Capsicum annuum. Its description in RNAcentral is "long non-coding RNA (CANN_LNC000682)". Lineage: Eukaryota; Viridiplantae; Streptophyta; Magnoliopsida; Solanales; Solanaceae. The record is from RNAcentral.
ACCACUAGAUUCAUUAGGAGUGGUUAUAUCAUCUUCAAACAAGACAUUAUACCUUAAGAGAGUAUGAUCUAUUUCACGGGCAGAUUCGGAACAAACACGUUCAUCACUCUCUAAGAGAUCAAUAUCAAGUUUCAAAGAGAUUUCAAGUGCAAGAUUAUCCCAAGAAUAGCUCUCGGGUUCACUCCUAUUCCUUUGAUGAAUAUUUUCAACAUCAUCACACACUUGACAUUCAUUAAUCACAU